RNAcentral lists this long non-coding RNA (855 nucleotides) under Hordeum vulgare. Its description in RNAcentral is "long non-coding RNA (HVUL_LNC020043)". Lineage: Eukaryota; Viridiplantae; Streptophyta; Magnoliopsida; Poales; Poaceae. The record is from RNAcentral.
GAUAAUCCAUUAAAGCCCACAUUGCCAACGACCCACCUGUUAUUCAUCUCCUUCCUGAAACCAUGCCCCGGGGCGCUGUCAUUGUUGCCGUUGCAGUCUCCACAUGCACCGCCUCCCCUUUCCUAUCCUCUCUCUGCUCCAUGGAGCCGUCGUCGCCUGCCGUGUUUCUCGAACAGGCCGCCGUCCAAGGGAGGCGCUGGGGACCGAGCCUAGCCCCACGGGAGCGCCUCAUCUACUCUCUCUCUGAUCCCACCGAUGCCCUCUUCAGCUCCUCCUCCUCCUCUUCUCCCCUACCCCUAGCCGAGGUAAAGAUCCCCCACCACCACCCUCUGGAUUCAUCUAGAACAGUAACUUUUCAUGAGCAUCCAUGGAUAUGUCUUGGCUGGUGAUUCAUGACAGGACAAAUCACAGUACCUUGGACCUGGAGUGGUAAUCUGACAUUUGGGAGGGCUGGUGUGUCGUUGAUUGCAUAAAGUUUAUGCAUGGAACAAGCUAUUUUUUCUUUUAUGAUGCAGGCAUGCUUUGUACGUAUGUCGCUGCAGAUUAUAUUAAUGUAUCAGUGGUACUAUGCAUCUAUUUGCAAUACAUGGUAUGAUGGAAAAGAGCUGCUUUGCUAAUAUGUGGUACUAUGCGGACACUACGUACGUCACUUAAAAAUUAACUGGACUAUGACAUAAUCCCACGUAAGCAGUGGUGGCCGAUGCGGGCAAGUCCCACCACAUCCAACGAACUGCCCAUUUACAUCCGUGAGAUAAAUUAGUGGUUGAUGCUUCAAGCGGCGCGGGUUGAGAUGGCAGAGAGGGUAACGACGUCGGAGGCACGACGAGGUGGCGGAUCGAAGGGUUGUCGGUAGGG